RNAcentral lists this long non-coding RNA (405 nucleotides) under Sphaeramia orbicularis (orbiculate cardinalfish). Its description in RNAcentral is "lncRNA (ENSSORG00005023396.1)". The record is from RNAcentral. Lineage: Eukaryota; Metazoa; Chordata; Actinopteri; Kurtiformes; Apogonidae.
UAGAAGAGAAUCUGAAAAACAACCAGGAGCAGAAUUUGCAUCUCGUCACCAAACUGAAAUAUGAACAAAAAGGUCUUGAGGUCGAAAACACGAGGCUCCACGCUGAACUGGAGAAACUGAAGAGAACUCGCUCUGAACCUGAGCGAGCCUCAUCCCCAGAACUGGAAGACGGCGUCAUCCCAGACUCACCGGUCCUGCACAGCUCACUGCCAGCGGCGAACAAACUGAAGAAACGCAAAGUCCUCCACAAAACCAAAUACGUCCGCUACGAGGAGACUCCUCUACCACAGUCCCGCAGCUUCAUCUUCAACGGUCAGUGUAGUUUGGAGAAAUUUCCAGAAUCCAGAAUGUUUAACCUAUAAAGACCUAAACAGCCUCUGGCGACUCAAACCAUCUACUGAUCUG